This 460-nucleotide ribosomal RNA is filed under the name uncultured bacterium. RNAcentral's name for it is "partial 16S ribosomal RNA". It matches the Rfam family "Bacterial small subunit ribosomal RNA", at positions 355 to 832 of the family's 1533-position model. The record is from RNAcentral.
UGGGGAAUAUUGCACAAUGGGCGAAAGCCUGAUGCAGCAACGCCGCGUGAGUGAUGAAGGUCUUCGGAUUGUAAAGCUCUGUCUUUUGGGACGAUAAUGACGGUACCAAAGGAGGAAGCCACGGCUAACUACGUGCCAGCAGCCGCGGUAAUACGUAGGUGGCGAGCGUUGUCCGGAUUUACUGGGCGUAAAGGGUGCGUAGGCGGAUGUUUAAGUGAGAUGUGAAAUACCCGGGCUUAACUUGGGUGCUGCAUUUCAAACUGGAUAUCUAGAGUGCAGGAGAGGAGAAUGGAAUUCCUAGUGUAGCGGUGAAAUGCGUANAGAUUAGGAAGAACACCAGUGGCGAAGGCGAUUCUCUGGACUGUAACUGACGCUGAGGCACGAAAGCGUGGGUAGCAAACAGGAUUAGAUACCCUGGUAGUCCACGCCGUAAACGAUGAGUACUAGGUGUAGGAGGUAU